UACGUAGGUGGCAAGCGUUGUCCGGAUUUACUGGGCGUAAAGGAUGUGUAGGCGGAUACUUAAGUAAGAUGUGAAAGCCCCGGGCUCAACCUGGGGACUGCAUUUCAAACUGGGUAUCUAGAGUGCAGGAGAGGAAAGCGGAAUUCCUAGUGUAGCGGUGAAAUGCGUAGAGAUUAGGAAGAACAUCAGUGGCGAAGGCAGCCCUCUGGGACAUGACUGACGCUCUUGCACGAAAGCGUGGGGAGCAAACAGGAUUAGAUACCCUGGUAGUCCACGCCGUAAACGAUGAGUACUAGGUGUAGGAGGUAUCGACUCCUUCUGUGCCGCAGCUAACGCAAUAAGUAUUCCGCCUGGGAAGUACGAUCGCAAGAUUAAA
RNAcentral lists this ribosomal RNA (376 nucleotides) under uncultured bacterium. RNAcentral's name for it is "bacterial SSU rRNA". It matches the Rfam family "Bacterial small subunit ribosomal RNA", at positions 524 to 898 of the family's 1533-position model. The record is from RNAcentral.